GGCCAUGCUCUGGAAUAGCAGGUUGGACCCGGCCGCUGUCACUCAGCCCCGGGGGUCCGAAAGCGCGUGUAAAGGCGAGGCUGGGGAAUUGGCCCACCUUGACCCUGAAGCCCCGCCCUGUGGCGGGUGGGAUUGGUGGAGCCCAGACCAACCGAGAAAGAUGGGUCCGCGUCUGAAACAAAGCACGCGAAGUGUUUUCCGAAGAACCGAGAAGGGGAAGAGCAGUUGGGGCAGCUUGUAUCCCGCUGCAAGGAGUAGGAGAGUCAGUUCUUCCCUUGCGCCCCACGCUACUCGUCGGGAUCUCCUGUUUGUCGCGCACGCCUCGGAACGGCUUUCUGCAGGAGCUGAGUCCGCGCUGAACUUCGACUGAGACUUCUCUUGCUGUUUCUUACAGCUAGAACCUGGAUAAAGAAUCGACGCAUCUUCAUUUACAGCAAACCCUCUGAUCCCUGUGGAUGACCGGCUUGCUGUUCUUGGAUGAGCUAAUUCAGAAGAAAAAAUAGCACUUCAACAGAAUUUGGAAGGAGGAGACAGAACCAGAACCAGAAGCAGAACAUAAGGGAAUGGAACAUUGGGCCAGAUGAUCUCAGAGAUGAACUCAGCUCAUUCCCUCGUAUCCCAGCAAUAAGCGCAAGACAAACUGAACAAGUGAGCUGGGAAGGGGCAACUCAGGAAGCAAGAGUCUCUCCUGGCAUAGUCACCAUAGGUGUCCCUGCCCAGAGGACAUCCAUCCCUGUGGUGUGCCCAUUACAGAGUGGCGUGUCCAGACAGGCAUCAGCCAGCUGGCCUCUCCAGACAUGUUCCUCUUUAGGGGUUACAGGUGAGAAAAUGAUGCGGUUCUGGGGAAGACCCAUAUUUUGUGUGUAGUCUUGAAUAUUAGGUUCUCCUACUGCUGGAAAACGCAGCAUCCAUAGCACACUGUCGGGAACACGCUUCAGAAUAUUUGCCCACUUUUGCAAAGUAGAAGGGUCAAUUUUAUCUGAUUCAAGUUACAGUACACAAUAGCAUCUUCUGGUAACCCAUCCUGAGAACGUGUGUUUACAAAAGAAAAAAAAAAGUGUACUAGAAUUCAAAACACGAAUGAGAAAUGGGAAGCAAGAAGAUGCAUCCCUUGAAUUGCCAGAGUCCACUAAGUAGAAAAGUGGAUAGAAAGCAAGCAGGGAAGAAAGAAGAGGCUGGUCUCCGGGAUGGAAGGAGACAUUGGCUGUUAAGAAAAUGUCCACUGUAUGGA
Molecule: long non-coding RNA, 1231 nt
Organism: Phacochoerus africanus (Common warthog)
Lineage: Eukaryota; Metazoa; Chordata; Mammalia; Artiodactyla; Suidae
Exons: 4
Source: RefSeq, a predicted model, not a curated record